GACGAACGCUGGCGGCGUGCUUAAUACAUGCAAGUCGAACGGACAGGCCCUGCUCUUGUGGGGUGCUCGAGUGGCGAACGGGUGUGUAAAACGCGUGUAACCUGUCCUUGAAUUUGGGAUAUAUUUAGGAAACUGGGGCUAAUAUCGGAUAGGAGCUCCUGCUGCAUGGUGGGGGUUGGAAAGUUUCGGCGGUUGUGGAUGGAAUCGCGGGUUAUCCGCUUGUUGGUGGGGUAGUGAAGUACAAAGGCUUUGACGGGUAGGCCGCCUUGGAGGGUGACCGGCGACAAUGCGACUGAGGGACGGCCCAGUCGCCUACGGGAGGCAGCAGGGGGGAAUAUUACACAACGACGCGAAGCCUGAUGCAGCAACGCCGCGUGCGUAAUAACGGCUUACUAGUUGUAAACCGCUGUCGCCUGUGACGAAGCGUGAGUGACGGUAAUGAGUAAAAAAGCACCGGCUAACUACGUG
RNAcentral lists this ribosomal RNA (468 nucleotides) under uncultured bacterium. RNAcentral's name for it is "partial 16S ribosomal RNA". It matches the Rfam family "Bacterial small subunit ribosomal RNA", at positions 28 to 507 of the family's 1533-position model. The record is from RNAcentral.